Molecule: ribosomal RNA, 492 nt
Filed under: uncultured bacterium
Lineage: Bacteria
Description: partial 16S ribosomal RNA
Rfam family: Bacterial small subunit ribosomal RNA
Source: RNAcentral
AGUGAACGCUGGCGGUAGGCCUAACACAUGCAAGUCGAACGGCAGCACAGUAAGAGCUUGCUCUUACGGGUGGCGAGUGGCGGACGGGUGAGGAAUACAUCGGAAUCUACUUUUUCGUGGGGGAUAACGUAGGGAAACUUACGCUAAUACCGCAUACGACCUACGGGUGAAAGCAGGGGAUCUUCGGACCUUGCGCGAUUGAAUGAGCCGAUGUCGGAUUAGCUAGUUGGCGGGGUAAAGGCCCACCAAGGCGACGAUCCGUAGCUGGUCUGAGAGGAUGAUAGGCCACACUGGAACUGAGACACGGUCCAGACUCCUACGGGAGGCAGCAGUGGGGAAUAUUGGACAAUGGGCGCAAGCCUGAUCCAGCCAUACCGCGUGGGUGAAGAAGGCCUUCGGGUUGUAAAGCCCUUUUGUGGGGAAAGAAAAGCAGCAGGUUAAUACCCCGCUGUUCUGACGGUACCCAAAGAAUAAGCACCGGCUAACUUCGUG